This 5539-nucleotide long non-coding RNA is filed under the name Citrus x clementina. RNAcentral's name for it is "Citrus clementina (C. clementina) long non-coding RNA (CCLE_LNC001671)". The record is from RNAcentral. Lineage: Eukaryota; Viridiplantae; Streptophyta; Magnoliopsida; Sapindales; Rutaceae.
UUUUUUAAUAAUUUGGUUUAAAAAAGAAUGUUUAAAUCAUGAAAGAAUCUCAAUGUCAAAAGGUACUGUCAUCAAAAUAAAUCAAACUACAAUGCUCGGACACAAGCCGUUCAAAGUGUUCCAUUUGUCUUAUGAAUAUAAUUGGAAUAUGAAGUUUUGAAUCGGACCGGUGUUUGAAAAUUUAGCACCAUCAGAAGGUUUUCUGUGAAAAAAAAAAUGAUAAUGAUAAGUGACGAAAUACAUAUAUAACUUCCUAAUAAGCCCAAAUCCCUAUACACCCUCUAAUUUCUCUCACCCUCAAAGCUCCCAAGAUUCACUUCAUGCAGCUUUGUCAAGAAUCUUAAACAAGUUUUUGAAGAACAAACCGAGUUAUGGCAUUUGCCUGCUCAGUAUCCUGAGAGUUUACUCAAUACAUGAUUAUAUAGACAACCGAACAAAAUUACUCAAGUUUAAUCCUGAGAGUUUUAAAACAAUGAAAAAGAUGAUAUCUAGAGAAGGGUUCAGGUUCCACAGCUUCUGAUGUGAGCAAAUUCUUGGCAACAGAAUCACCAAGCAACAGCUUAUCACAUCUAAUUUAAGACAAUAACACGGCCAGCCAUGAAAUCCUCACAUUUCCCAGCAGCAGCUAUAUGCAAACCAUACAUACGGCUGUCACUUGAUAGCAUACCAAAAAACUUAUUCAAACUUGCAUGAAUUGACAUAUGGCACAAGAACUGUUGCAUGCCUUUUAAAAUUCAGUGCUUCUUUUGAGCCUUGACCUUCUGCAAUCUAGGCAAGCAGUGUCAUAGGUUAGCUCAUUGGCCUUCUAACAAUAUCAGCUCCAACUUAACAAAUAAUUUCAUUUUAAAAAAAUGAAAUUGUGAAUCACCUUUCUGCUAAUCAUUGUCUACACUUUAUAUGAAUUUGCUGCCGACUGCUUCCAGGAAAUGGUUUCAUUUUCAAAUAUGGUGGCCGAAGAAGCUUUUUCCUAAACUCUACUUCUGUUUGUUUUUUAACUAGUACCGUCAAGUUAUCCAUGCAAACAAAUGGAAAUAAAGAAUCAGUAACUUUUAAGUAUUCCUGGUACAGAAUUUGAUUGAAAUACUUUAUGCUUUUCAAUUAGAGAGCAAAUAAAGACAGAGCAGGAGAAGAAAUCACCUGAAGCAGAGGAUGAUUGCAAUUGCAAAUCCCAGAACACUCAAGCUCUCAAAAUUCACUCACACAAAAAACUAUCUCAUUAUCCUUGCCAGUAUCCUUGUCACCAUACAAGUUUCGAGCAAACAAACAGAAAUCUGAAGUUUACUGCAAGUUUAAUAUUAAGAGUUUCAAAGCAGUGAAAAAGAUGAUAUAGUUGAUGACCUGAGUUAUCCAUAGCGACAGGUUCGGGUUCAGGCUGAUGAAAAGAACCGCUGCUUCCGACAUGAGAACUUUCUUGGCAAUAACGUGGGGAACCAUCAAAUCGUAAAAUUUCCCAAUACUGCAAUCAUACUUACGGCCGUCACUUGAUAGCACCUAAAUGCACCAAAAGAAACAGAAGCUAACGAUGUCCAACCAUGAAACUUAUUCAAUGUUUAUGAAGAAUUUGGUGAAAGGAAAUGGUUUAUAGUCUGAAUGAAGGCAUGAUUGCCGCAAGAGGUAGAAUACUUUUCUUUGAGUUUUAAAUGAUGUGGCAUUCAUUUAUUGGAUGGUUGUCAAAUAACUUUAUAAUUUAAAAAAUUCAUCAUCUAAUAAAUGAGUGAUAUAUAGUAUUACGCAGAAGCAUGACUCAAAUGUUAGAAUUUUUAACAUUAUUGAAGGGAAAAGCUAAAAAAGGAGAGUUGAUGAAAGUUUGUUUGUCUUCUUAACAUAUAUGAAAAACAACUUAAGAUUUUUAAAAAAAUAAAAGGGUGAUUUUAAGAUAAUUAAUUCACCAGCAGAAUUAUCCAAAAUAAUUUAUGUAACUUAUAUGUUUACCAACUUAUUCCCAUUCCAAUGUGCAAUCAGCAGAAGGUGUUUUGCUUUCUAGCAGAUACCGUGUAGUACUACAGCCAUACACAAAUAUUUUAUUUAAUCGUUCUGUUCAAAUGAGAAACCUAGAAGCUAGUAGAAUAAUGCUUUUCCUUCUUGCACUUUUCCCCCCCAAUCUUCAACUUGUUCAAGAAGUUUAGUAAUAAUUUGAGAUGGAAAAUUUUUGGAUGCUUUUAUAGUAUAUUAUGUUCUCCAUUUGUUGAAUUCUUACAAUAUGUAUAUUGAUUAUUAUGUGAUUGAUUGAAAGGUGACAUAUAUGUGGUAAGAAUUCAAUGGAUAAUGAUAUAUAGCUUGCGAGCAACUCAAGAGUUUCUUUUAGUGGAAUUUUAAGUGUAAUUAUGCAAAGAUGAAAUGUAGCUAGUGGUUUUAAGGGAAUGUUAAAUUGCUAAUUGCAGUUUGAUCUUGUAACAGAUGGAAAUAAAAUUUCACGAAUUAUAUAAAUCAGCCAAAACGCGUAGAAUUAUCUGAGUCUCGGCUUUCACUAAAAUCCUCUUUUCCACAGACAUGCCCUGCUGCCUGCUUCACAUAUACAUUUAUCACCAAAGAAAUUGAACAUUUGUCAAUCAGCUGAUCAAAAGCCAAAUUAAUGGAGUCUUGUGAAUCAGGCGCUGGUUCAAAGAAAACAAGGCUAAAAACAGCAAAACGUUUUGCACUCCCACUCUUCAGCACUUGUCCUUCAAUUGUCAAAAAUGACUCGGUUCAAGAAUCUUAAUAAAGUUGUCUUACAUUCGAUGACAGACAGAAAACAGAAAUUACAAUCAUUACACUCAUAUCAAAAUUUUUAAAACUGUUGCAUAUAUUCCAGACAACGAAAAUGAUUCAAGCUACUUUAUGCUUCUUAAUUAGGUAACAAAUAACAACUAAGCAGGAGAAGAAACUACCUGAGGCUGAGGAUGAUCGUAAUUUCAUUCGCACAAAAACUAUCUCAUUAUCCUUGCCAGUAUCCUUGUCACCAUGCAAUUUUCGAGCAAACAAACUGAAAUCUGAAAUUUACUGAAGUUUUGUCAGGGGCCUCCAUUCACUCCCAACUGCCAACUGCUGCCUUGAAAUGGUUUCAUUUUCUUUGGGUUCUGUUACAGCCAAUCCUUCCACCAAUAAGAUUCUCAUUUCAUAUCCUGCCCAGCUUCCUGCAUCACGUCAUAAAUUUAGUUACAAGAAAUUGGUCACCUAGUCAAAGUAAGCAAACCUAUAAAAGUAACCAGUCAACUCAAAAUCAAAAUUAAUAGAAAUUUAUGAAUCAUGUAAUGGUCAAAAAGUCAGGCAUGCCAAUAAUUUACCCGAACACUGAAAAGGAAACAAGAAAUCAAUCGGACGAAAUAGAUAUAUCGCUUACCUUCUUCGAUGAAGUGAAAAAGCGGCUGCUUGCUCGUGUAGCUGAGAGAGAGAAAUUUGGGAAUUACAAUAUCUCAGGUGGGUUUUGAAAAAGGAAAGCAAAUCUCAGCUCAGUUGAUGAACUGUUCUUUUGACAGGUUUGAUACGAGUCAAGGUUCACUUAAAAGGAAGAAAAAUGCAGAUCAUCAGAGAAAAAUAGCCCAUGAACAGGUCAGCUCCCAACGGCUUACUUCAGUAUGUUACUUGUCGCUAUGGAUAACUCAGGUUUUUGUCAUCAACUAUAUCAUCUUUUUCACUGUUUUGAAACUCUUGAUAGUAAACUUCAGUAACCUUCGGAUCCUAACUCAUUGGAUCGGAACCUUUAACCCCGUUAGCAUAACACCGUAACUGGACGAACCAAAAAUCCAAAGUUUUCAAGUGCUUUUCCAGGCCAUCUCCAAUGUGACACCAAAACUAACACCAAACCACCUUUUACACUAUUUUUGGUGUAAAAUGCUUCUCCAAUGUAACACCAAAACCAACAACAAAAUGGUGUUGUGAAUAGUAUUGCACCAAAUAUGGUGUAACACUAUUCAUUUGGUGCUAGGAAAAAAAGCUCUUAAAUAUCUUUAUUACUUUUUCUUAUUUACAUAUAUGUCCUAUUUUAUAUAAUAUUUUAAGUUAUUAUUAUUAUUAUUUUUGUUAUUAUUUUUAUUUCAUUUUUUAAUUUUUGAAUAUUAUACUAAUAUUUUAAAUAACAAAUAUUCAACACAAAAAUUAAUAAUAAUAAUAAAAUGCUAGUAACAUUAAUUACUAUAUUACAUAUUACAAAAUUAAAUUAACACAAAUUAAAAAAGCUACUACUACUAGUAUAAAUUAGAACAAUUAUUUAAUAAUCUGGAAGAACAUUAUUAGAUCCUCCAAUAUCAUCAAAAUAUUAGAUAUAAAAUUAUUAUUAUUGUUAUUGUAUUUUUCUAUAUUAAUGUAAUGUUUAAUUUUCAUAAUGUACUAAUUUAGUUAAUUAAAUACAAAUUUAAUAAUUUUCUAUAUCUUUUGUGUUAAUCGAUAAAAUUACUUAUUACUUAAUUAUCUAUAUUAAUAGUAAUAUUUAUUCUGUUAAUUGAAUUAAUUCUUGAGAAUUAAAAUAAUAAAAAGAAAAUUAUUAUUUUUGGUGUAAAUGGGUUGGAGAUGAAAUAGUAAUUUAGUGUGAAAAAUGUAUAUUUUUAAUGUUGGUAUUACACCAAAAUGGUGUUAAGCAUUGGAGAUGCCCUCAUUGAAGCGCCGUUUAUCCCCCAAAAAAAUUUAUAGCGCUUAGAGGCCGCAGCAAAGUAUCCAGGUCCAAAGGUUCGAUAAAGCUUGAAAUCAAUGAAUCAAACACAAACAAUUGGGUUUCCAUUCACGUCCAUGUUAUACAGGGCUUUCAUUUUUGUGAAAUGACCAGUGGGACAACUUUUUCUUUCUUAACUUGUGACUGCACCAAAUAAUUUCAAAUGAAAAUGUUUCAACAUAAAAUCCUGAACAUUUUGAAGCUUAAAAAAUAAACUAUUACAACAUAUGGUUUAAUAACAUAAUAGUUGAGAUAUUUUUAAUAUCACAUUUCAAGUUUUAAUAUUUUAUCCUUUAAAUAUAGUUGACUUACUAUUUAAUCCUAGAUAGCCAUAUUUGCUCCACCCUUUUAGUUUUACAAUUUUGUCCUCCAAAUAUUUUUAGCUUAAUAUGUGAUCCUUGAUAGCUAUUUAUCAAACUCAUGGCAUAGAGAUCCACAUGGGCUUAUUAUUACACAAAUGCCCAUAUUUUAGGACCAAAAGAAAUUAGAAAGUAUGAAAAAUCAGGUAUUUUCUAUCACUUUGCUAUUAAUAGUUUGUUGCAGGUGUAUUUAGUGGAAAAUUGAUUGCUAAGAAUUACAGUUCUCCUAUGUAUAUUUGAUUUAAAAAGCACUAAUAAAAUAAUAUAUGUUAGUUACUUUUUUUUUAAUAAUUUAGUUUUUAAAAGAAUGUUUAAAUCAUGAAAGAAUCUCAAUGUCAAAAGGUACUGUCAUCAAAAUAAAUCAAACUACAAUGCUCGGACACAAGCCGUUCAAAGUGUUCCAUUUGUCUUAUGAAUAUAAUUGGAAUAUGAAGUUUUGAAUCGGACCGGUGUUUGAAAAUUUAGCACCAUCAGAAGGUUUUCUGUGAAAAAAAAAAUGAUAAUGAUAAGUGACGAAAUACAUAUAUAACUUCCUAAUAAGCCCAAAUCCCUAUAC